Molecule: long non-coding RNA, 7047 nt
Filed under: Canis lupus familiaris (dog)
Lineage: Eukaryota; Metazoa; Chordata; Mammalia; Carnivora; Canidae
Description: lncRNA (ENSCAFG00000052989.1)
Source: RNAcentral
AUGUUUGCUUGAGAAUUAUAAAAAUGCAAAUGUGAUAUAAAGGGGUUACAUUUUUUCUGAAACUUGAUCUUUUCAUUAUGGAAACCAGGUUUGAGUAAGCUGGUCAGUCACCUAAGGAUGUCUUUAUGUUUUCUUUAUAAAUUGAGCGGAGGUCAACUUUUAAGGAAAGAGUUUGACAAAGCUUCUACAGUAAAGAACAAGGGGACAAAUAACCUUUCUCUUUCAAAAAGAUAAUCUGACCAAAUAUUCUUUACAUGAGUUAAUGUUGCAUUUCCUGUAUUUAAAAAUUCUGAAUAAGGUUCCUGUAGUCUUGUUUCAGAGGCAUAGAUCAAAAAGACAGUUACAAGUUUUUAUUAUAUUCAAUCUGUUAUGAAGCAUUAUAUGUGGUCAAUGUCUCUCUCUGCAGUAAGUUUUUUAAAAUAUAUGAAGUAUUCUUUGUUACAAAUAUCCAUCAAAAAACACUGGAAUGUAAUACAAAAGUUGAGUUAUUUAAUUACUGUGUAAAUAAGACGCUGACAGGGUUCAAGCACAAAAUAUGGCAUGUACCUUAAAUAAUGUCUCAAUUUGUUUACUUUAAACUGACUAAAAAAGCUUAUUUACAUUUAAAAUUCUUCUCCUUAAGGGAGCCUUUUCGGCAUUUAUAAACAUCAAAGAAAAGCAUUCGUAAAAGCACAAUAAAAAUAUGGAAAUUAUACAUUUUUGGAAAAUACACAUUAUAGCAGUAAUAACAUGUCUGGCUAUAAAAAUACAUAAAAAGUGUUAAUAUAAGCACUUUUACAUUAUCAUGAAAAAAAAUAACUUUCAUAAAAUAGAUAUUUUCCAGAUAUAAAAAUAUAAUUUAGAAACCAAGCAUCACUUAGAACUACUUUUCUCAUAGAGCUGCAAUUAUGAGACUAGAAUAUUCCAUUCUGAACCAUUGUUCUCUGGGAAUUUUUAUAAAGGUAUAGAAAAACUAUGCUGUACAAUAAUGACACAUAAGCAAAACAAAUAUUUACAAAUUACAAGGUAUGUUAGGGAAAGCACUUGCUUUUCUAAAUGUCCAUGUGGGACACAUCACUCAAUAUUUGCCAGUUUGUCCACAUGUCCUUUAGAACAUGGCAGCCAGGAUUAAUGUGGAAAGCUCUACUCUCAGUGUCUUCUAACAUCUGAAGAUAACAGUGUGAUUCCCUUUCUUUGCCUCAUUAGUAUUUCCAUUAAUACAGCUUAAGGUCACAUUUAUUUUUAUCACCCUUCAACUGACUAAUAAAGCUCACACUCAGACUUCUGGACAUUUUUUACACGAUCUCUUGAUAAAGCAUGUUUUGCCAUUUUGUAUAUCUUCCAUUGAUUUUUCUGGAAGUUUCUUUUAAAAUUGAUAUUAAUUUCUAUUAAUUUCGGGAGAAUUUCACUGUUUCUUCUGACCCAUGGUCCCCAUACUUUCUAGCUCUUGAUUCCAUCAUUUUGCAUUUUAACAUAACUCCCCAGCUCUAUGGUACCACAAAUUUGGUAUGUGUGCCUUUUGUCCUCUCAGGAGAUACAGUGGAAGGGCCAUGUAGAUCUGAGUUUAAAAUCAAGUUCUCCAAUUACCUCCAUAUAGGAGGAAAGUUAAACAUUUUGAAUCUUAGUUCCUUCAUCUGUGAAAUUGAAAUAAUUUUACUUUGUAGACUGUUAGAACUGGAAAGGAGAUAACAAACCAAUCAAGAAAUAUAUGUUUCCUCUUUUUUUAGCUAUAUUGUAUGUGUAAAAAAAGGAUAUGGCCCUUCAGAACACUACCAGAGGCCCUUAUCCUGAUCAAUAUCAUAAAUUUCAUUACCCACUAGAAAUGUCACUCAGACCACCUUUUUAUAUUUAUAUUGUUAAAUAACAUCAUGUAGAAUUAUGUAAAUGCCUUCCUAAACUCAAGAUAUAUUAUAUUCCUAUCAUUCCAAUAUAUUACUCUAGAAACCUUACUCUAGAAACCUUAUCCAAAAUUUGUAACAGCUGUUCUUAAUAUUCAUAUUGUAAAUGUUAAUAAUCAUUUUUUAAGAAACCUAAACCCAUUUAUUUUGAAAAAUUAAGAAAAAAAGGCUUUUUGUAAUUUCUAAAAUUUUGUUCAGAAUCUACAUUAAGCUCAUAGAGCUGUGGUUUGCAGAAUUUUUCUUCUUUUAAUAUCAAGUUUCUUUUUGUAUUUUUUUUUCAAUUACUGGCAAUAGUUAUCAGUGCACUGGCUUGUAAAUUACCUGGGCUGUGAUGUUCAAACAUGAAAAGAGGCACCUUAUCUCCUUGUCUACCUUGAGUUUCAUUGCUUAGAUUUCUACUGCUUUGAAUUUCUUCUCCGUUCAUUUCAGGAUUAUUCUUGUUAGAAGGAAGAAGGUCAUAACAAAAUGUAAUUUUAUUAGUCCUUGCUCUUUGUUUUUUGUUUACUUUUAACUCUUUUCUAAAAAAUGUUCCAAAAUUACCACAUCAUUGCACAUAUAGGUGUGUGUAUCUAUGUCUAGCUGGACGUCUCUCUGUAUGUGUGUGUGAGACAGUAUACCUAUAUGUAUACAUUCACAUAUACAUGUGUGUAUACAAGUAGAUAUCACUGUGCGUGUAUAUAUUUGAAUAUAGUGUGUUGUGGGUGUUUGUAUGUUUGCAAGAGCAAGAGGAGAGGAGAGAGAGAAAGAUUGAGAAAGAGGUGUGUGUAUCCUUAGCAUUAUUUUUGACUUCCACAUCUCCACUUAUUCUUGGUUUUAGUUUUCCUAACACACUGCUUUCCUGGUUGUGUCCCCCUUCUGAACUGGCUUUUGGUUAUGUGUCCUUACAUAUUUUAUGUAUCACAUUCUCUGAAAAACCAUAGCUCAUUAGAAAUUUGUGUACAUUUUUGAUUCUCUAAAUUCCUUAUAAGCUUGUUUAUUAGAAGAUCCCAUAUCUCUCAAAACAGAACUUGACUUUUAGAAUAUCAGCUUUAAAUUUAUUUUAUUUGAAUUUCUUAACAGUUGAAUUUUAAAAUAUGAGUUGCAAAGCUUUCUUUUUCUAAACUAUAAAUAUUAUGAAAACAAGGUCAUACUUCCCCCCAAAUUCUUGUCUCUUCCACCUCAUUAAUCUGUUCAUCAUGGUUACUCUGAUUUAAGUCCAGAGUAGUAUUCACUUCAUUAGUGAGACCAUUUUCUAGAUAUUUGGAUCUGAACAUCUAUUUUGAAAAACAUAUAUAUUUGAAACCAAAGUAGUUUCUUAUUUGAACUAUUGCUUCAGCUUCCCAUUUUACUCUGUCUAGAUACUCUCUUCAAAAAUUUACCCAAAAGUUCAAUUUAUUAUAUGAUAUGAGUAAGAUUUUUAUGCUUACAGAAAAAUCUAAUCACAUUAAGAAUAUAGAAUGUUCAAUUUCAUGUCUUAUUGAAAGAAAAAUACCCUACAUAACCAACUCUUUAAAUAGCUGAAUUAAAGCUAUAUUGAUAAGAUUCUCAAUAUUUUUUCCUAUCAAAUGAAAAUUUUUAUAAGGCAUACACUCAUUAAAUUUAAUAAGCAGGAAAUUAUUUUAUUUAACAUUUAUUUAAGGGUGAACAAUGACAGCGGAUAAACUGCAUUCAGAAACUUAGCUUAUGCUUUCAAUAUACUGUGUUACUAAAACUUAAACUACCUUAGCCAACAUAACUAACAAUCAGUCUGCCUAGCUGCAGAGAACACAAUUUUAAUGUAUAAAAAUAAUUUAAAAAAUGCAUAACGUUAACAGUCAUAAUUGAAAGCAAACUACUGUAAAAAUUGUUUCAAUAUUUAAUUUAUGGUGUACUCAAAGUCUGAAAGAAAUGUAAAGAACUUUUUUAUCUCCUCACUCACUUCACCAUCUAUUUAUUACCAAGGAUAUAGAAAAUCUGAAGUACUGCACAGGGAUAUAUGGCAAUCCCCUUUUCAAACUCUAAGGUUUUAAAUUCUAUUACAAACUAGACGUUCAAAAAUUGUUUUUAUUGUAAUUUCAUCUAAGUCAAUUUUCUUUUUCAAUAAUAAAAUAUUAUUUUCUCAGCAGCAUGUCCCCAACUAAUAUGAAAAAGAUUCUUAAGAUAUCAUGCAUCUUUUCCCCCAUGCAAUGCUUCACAUUUACCUUUUUUAUGUGUCCCAUUUCCCCAUCUUCAAGUAAUCUAUCUAGUUCCCUCCUACUUUUAAAUAUAUUGAUAUCCCACCACACUUAAACACUGUUACUCCACAUUGUUUACUUUAUCAGUGAGUGGAGUACAUUUACAAAAAGUUAAAAUAGAGAUCUUGAUUCACCUUUGCUUAUCUUUUACAGGACUCUGGUUUUGACUACAAGUUACAUCUGUAAUCUUACAUUUGUGUAUUAUUAGUCAUUAUGGUACCACAUGAGAUGAUACCAAUGAUUGGCAGAAGUAAUUCCCUACUUUACAAAAUAAACUCAAUAACUUAAACUACAUUUUGCACUUUAACGAUCAAUAUUAUUGAAAGGUAUUGAGGGUUUUCACCUUUCUAUCUUUUUAUAUCGCACUGAAUCUGCUUUUUAAUUAUAAUUCUUCACCUACAAAUAAUUUGACUAUUAAUAAAGAGAUAUACAUAAAAAGGAUAGUUCCCUAAAAAGCCAUUUCCUUGAUUUAUCAAUCAGCCUAAACAGUUAUUUUUAAAAGGGCACCCUGAUUUCUGCUAGUAGAUUGAGUGAUGCUUUUUCCCUACAUGAAAAUACUAUAACCUUAGUUUUGUAUAGAAUUACAAUAAAAAGACUUUCUCCUAUGAAGUAAAUAUCCAAGUUACAAAUAUAAAAAAUCCCAUUUAACUUCAAUAUUCAACAUUUCUUAAGCUCUAAAUUGUAUGUACCUGGGCAUACAAGUUUCGUUUAUUGUAUAAGGGACCUUUGUCUACCAUAAUUUGCUAAUAAAUCAUUACCUCAUUAAUGUCCUUUAAAAUCACUAAAGAGUAGUUUGUCACUAAUAAGAAUGUUUCUAAGACUUAGUGUAUAUUUUAAGGAUUUAUAAUUUAAUGGCUGGAGAUACACUCACUUAAACCCAUAAGUCAAACUGUAUAUUUCUACCCUCUAACUUGCUGCUGACUUCCUGUACCCAGUCUUAAGGACAGUCAAAGCAGAUAAGAAACACCCACUCAAAAUAUUCAUCCUAUCAAGUCACAAUCAUAUGAGCCAUAACAACCUAUCUCUAAUUUAGCUCUUAAUUUAGCUCUUAUUAUUGAUGAGAUACUCCUUUGAAAUAUUGUCAUAAGGAGAAUUUGCGGAGCAUCCAGGGAAUGCAAAAAUCACAACAGAGGAAAUGUUCCAUACCAAAACUGGAAGAAUUCUGAAGCAAAGCUUUUCUUCACGAUUUUGCCAAAGCAAGUUCUUAUCUUUUCUCUCAGCAUUACAAAUUUAUCAUGGCUCAACAUUUUAGUCUAUAAUAUUGCUCAGAUUUUAUUCAAGCAAAUCAAAAUGUUAUUUUUUUAAGAGUGUCAUAAGACAAGUUAGGUGCAAAUCUCAUGUUUUUACUUAUUUGACCAAGUAGACCAAACUUAUUCUUAAUGAAAUCAGAAUUCCAGAUUAGCCUUGAAGGUCUAUUUUGUUUCUACAUGGAUAAACUCUUUUUUCCCAUGGGAUGUUACAACAAGAUGUCUAAAUUAAUUAGGUGAUGAUGAAUCUGAGUCAUGUGUUUUUUUAUAAAACUGAUAAGAAAAAAUAUAAGUGCCCUUCUAGAUAAAGCAACUUAAGUUAAAUGUCUUUUCAAAAUAAAAAGAUAUUUUGUAGUAUUUCUUUCUGGAAAAAUUUUCAGUUGGCCAAGCCAAUUUAAUGUAGCCAAAGCUACAAAUUGCUAAUUAGCAUACCACCAGGUAAAAAGGUGCUUAAUAAAUAAUGAUCUGAUGCACUACAGAAAAUAGCUCUCAUAAACAUCCUUCAUACGAUGUGACCCUAGCAUUUAAUAUUUUGUUUUAGAAGAAGAAAGUGACAUUUGUUAAAUUUUCUUGAUAAUACCUAUUGUAUUCUUAUGAAUCUAUUUAAACUAUUAAUGUACAUUUUAUUACUAUGAAUAAUCAUAUUUAUUAUAAACAUUUAAAAUUUUCACCAUUUUUCUGAUUUUCAUUAGUAAAUUUAAUAACAAUUGUAAUUGCUCUCACAAUAUAAGAUUUUGAAAGGAUAAUUGUACUUAAGACAACAGGCUACUGUUUCUUUUUAUUAUAAUCUCAUAAUAUAAGCAAUUGGUUUUGCUUUUUUAGUAACAGGUUUUAUUAGUCACAGAACUAGACAUUGUUUAAUACAAAACACAUUUUUGGUAAGUUAAGAAACCAGCUUUACAUGCUAUGUCAACAUUCUAGAUUAGUCAAUUUAUUGCUCUUGUCAUGUAGAAUAUAAUAUAAAACAUUAAUCAUUUUUAUUUAAAUUCCUUAAAAUUUCUCCAUUUGAUCUCAAAACUCAUUAAUAUCUGGAUUGUAAAAGCAAUACAAAUUUGGAACAACCAAGGUGCUGUAAGUUCAAUUAGUUAAAUCACUAAUUUUCUUCAUAGUAAAUUCAGGACAGAUAAUUUAUUGAAAUGAAUGCACAAAGGAAGGCAAUUAUGUACAUGAAGACUUAAAAAUAACAAGAAAUAUAUGAUAAUGUUAAGCAAGAUUAUACUAAAUCAGCAUUCACGGGUUUAAAGUAGUCUAGCAGGAUUUUUAGGUAAUGUGUCUAAUUCAUAAUCACUUUAAUGGCUUGACCCAAUAAUUUAGGUUAUAUUUCCUGAUCACAAGAAAAAGCCUAGUUUUGUCAAUUUCAUGAUAAAUUAAAGUUUAUGAUUUAAUAGAGUUUAUUAUGUUAAUCAAUCUACCAGAUGAUUCAGAAUUCACCAGUUGCUUCAUUCCUUAAUGAAAUUGCCUAUCAACCUAUUGAAGAGAAAUAAAAAUAUAAAAACUCAGAUGUUGGUCAUUAUGCAAACUAAGCCACUAGAAGAAUUAUUAAAUUUUAUCCCAUUUAAUUAAAGAGUGACCUAGGAAAGACAUUCAGUUCCCUCUAUUAACACUUAAUUAAUUUUAGUGAAUUAAUAAUAUUUCUUUAGAAACUGAAUAAUGAAAUCAUGAUAUUAAUAAUUCAUAUUUAGUGGAGGGCAAAAGAGGAGGCCACAGAGUGAGACUAAGUUAUUUAGCUCC